This 301-nucleotide ribosomal RNA is filed under the name uncultured bacterium. Its description in RNAcentral is "bacterial SSU rRNA". It matches the Rfam family "Bacterial small subunit ribosomal RNA", at positions 28 to 334 of the family's 1533-position model. The record is from RNAcentral.
GAUGAACGCUGGCGGCGUGCUUAACACAUGCAAGUCGAACGGACUAUUUUUCGGAAUAGUUAGUGGCGGACGGGUGAGUAACGCGUGGGUAACCUGCCUCACACUGGGGGAUAACAGUUAGAAAUAGCUGCUAAUACCGCAUAAGCGCACAGUUUCGCAUGAAACGGUGUGAAAAACUCCGGCGGUGUGAGAUGGACCCGCGUCUGAUUAGCUAGUUGGUGAGGUAACGGCUCACCAAGGCGACGAUCAGUAGCCGGCCUGAGAGGGUGAACGGCCACAUUGGGACUGAGACACGGCCCAA